CGUUAAUCGGAAUACUGGGCGUAAAGCGUGCGCAGGCGGUUUUGUAAGACAGUGGUGAAAUCCCCGGGCUCAACCUGGGAACUGCCAUUGUGACUGCAAGGCUAGAGUGCGGCAGAGGGGGAUGGAAUUCCGCGUGUAGCAGUGAAAUGCGUAGAUAUGCGGAGGAACACCGAUGGCGAAGGCAAUCCCCUGGGCCUGCACUGACGCUCAUGCACGAAAGCGUGGGGAGCAAACAGGAUUAGAUACCCUGGUAGUCAAGGGCG
RNAcentral lists this ribosomal RNA (263 nucleotides) under uncultured Burkholderiales bacterium. RNAcentral's name for it is "partial 16S ribosomal RNA". It matches the Rfam family "Bacterial small subunit ribosomal RNA", at positions 539 to 802 of the family's 1533-position model. The record is from RNAcentral. Lineage: Bacteria; Pseudomonadati; Pseudomonadota; Betaproteobacteria; Burkholderiales.